UAUCCUACGGGAGGCAGCAGUGGGGAAUAUUGCACAAUGGGCGCAAGCCUGAUGCAGCCAUGCCGCGUGUGUGAAGAAGGCCUUCGGGUUGUAAAGCACUUUCAGCGAGGAGGAAGGCAUCACACUUAAUACGUGUGGUGAUGACGUACUCGCAGAGAGCCCGCCGGCCCCC
Molecule: ribosomal RNA, 172 nt
Filed under: Rahnella aquatilis
Lineage: Bacteria; Pseudomonadati; Pseudomonadota; Gammaproteobacteria; Enterobacterales; Yersiniaceae
Description: partial 16S ribosomal RNA
Rfam family: Bacterial small subunit ribosomal RNA
Source: RNAcentral